RNA transcript from Hevea brasiliensis (rubber tree), 1198 nucleotides. It is a transcript of the gene named protein BCCIP homolog, with no coding region annotated. The transcript is spliced from 9 exons. The record is from RefSeq and is a predicted model, not a curated record. Lineage: Eukaryota; Viridiplantae; Streptophyta; Magnoliopsida; Malpighiales; Euphorbiaceae.
AAAUAUGGAGGAGAACCUCCGACAAACCUUCAUGGCAUUUACUGAUUUAAUUCCGCGCACCUCCUCCAAUUUAUCUUCAUCGAUUCCUGUUUUUUUAUUUUAUCCUCAACUUAUAGCUUUCAAUUUCGUCUUGAUUGAAGGUAAAAUUCUUGAGUUGUUUUUUAUUACCCAAAUGGUGCCACGAAGAAGAACAAGGCACAGCCGAGCGACGAUGGUUCGGCCAGUGACCUUGUCGUCGUUUGCUCUAUCUGUUGCUCAUCUUGCUACAGCUUACACAAGCAAGCGUCAAAAGCUUGACGUGAAACUAAAAAGAUCUCUGCCCAGGGCACCAGCUUGAUUUUGCGUUGGGAGAUGGAUUUGUUAAGCAGUCACCAGAAGAGAAGAGUAAAGAAUCUGAGUCUUCUGAGGACGAAGAGUUCCAAGAUAAUAAAUGUAUCAUGGAGAUCAAGGAGUUCCUCAUCAAAGUUUGUUAGGACAGAAAUGUAAUGGAUGAUUUCAAAUUAAUUUGGGAAGAGCAAGCACAUGAUGUAGGUCUCUUGGUCUCUUAGCGUGUUGCCAAUCUUCCUCCCCAACUUUUACCACCUCUUUAUGAUGCUUUCUUCAAUGAAGUUUCAUGGGCUACAGAAGAUGAACCAACAGAGGAGCUCAGGAAUGCUUUCUGCUUCAAGUCCUAUUCGAUAGUUGGUAAAAUUUACAAGCACAAGAAUGCAAGCCACAAAAAGGGGGGAAACAGUCAUAAUGAGGAAUUGAUAAUAUAUAUUAAGCGUGAAGAUGAAUUUUUUCAUAAGCUCUGCUUGUGGUCCUUCUGUUUUCCUUUGCACUCGGAUCAUGUGACAACUCAUGAGCUAAGAAAUUACAGGUUAAUGGGGUUAGUCAUGGUUGUUGACGCAAACAAAAUUUCUAUUUUUCGUGAGGAGUUGCACUCUUUGAUUAAUGAACCCUUAAGUCCUUUUAAAGGUUUUAUGGGGUACCAAAGUUUUGAUUUCUUCCUUUACCAGGAGCAACUAAUCGGGUUUGAGGAGGAAUCCUUUUUGCAUUUACAAUAUCCAUCCAACCUUUUAUGAAACAAGUUUAUGGAAUCUUAAAAAUUAACUUUUUAGAUAGGUACGCUAAUAUUUAUUUGUUGGGAUUCUUCUGUGAUUCAAGUUAUUUUCUUUCCCUUUAAUCUAGCUUUUUAUUUUCCUGUUUUGCGCAACAA